GAUGAACGCUGGCGGCGUGCUUAACACAUGCAAGUCGAACGGAAAGGCUCCUGCUUGCAGGGGUACUCGAGUGGCGAACGGGUGAGUAACACGUGGGUGAUCUGCCCUGCACUUCGGGAUAAGCCUGGGAAACUGGGUCUAAUACCGGAUAGGACGAUGGUUUGGAUGCCAUUGUGGAAAGUUUUUCGGUGUGGGAUGAGCUCGCGGCCUAUCAGCUUGUUGGUGAGGUAAUGGCCUACCAAGGCGUCGACGGGUAGCCGGCCUGAGAGGGUGUACGGCCACAAUGGGACUGAGAUACGGCCCAGACUCCUACGGGAGGCAGCAGUGGGGAAUAUUGCACAAUGGGAGCAAGCCUGAUGCAGCGACGCCGCGUGGGGGAUGACGGCCUUCGGGUUGUAAACUCCUUUCGCUAGGGACGAAGCGCAAGUGACGGUACCUGGAGAAGAAGCACCGGCUAACUACGUG
This 465-nucleotide ribosomal RNA is filed under the name uncultured bacterium. RNAcentral's name for it is "partial 16S ribosomal RNA". It matches the Rfam family "Bacterial small subunit ribosomal RNA", at positions 28 to 507 of the family's 1533-position model. The record is from RNAcentral.